RNAcentral lists this ribosomal RNA (512 nucleotides) under uncultured microorganism. RNAcentral describes it as "bacterial SSU rRNA". It matches the Rfam family "Bacterial small subunit ribosomal RNA", at positions 9 to 503 of the family's 1533-position model. The record is from RNAcentral.
GAGUUUGAUCUUGGCUCAGGAUGAACGCUGGCGGCGUGCCUAAUACAUGCAAGUCGAGCGAACGGACGAGAAGCUUGCUUCUCUGAUGUUAGCGGCGGACGGGUGAGUAACACGUGGGUAACCUACCUAUAAGACUGGGAUAACUCCGGGAAACCGGGGCUAAUACCGGAUAACACAUGAAACCGCAUGGUUUCAUGAUGAAAGACGGUCUUGCUGUCACUUAUAGAUGGAUCCGCGCUGCAUUAGCUAGUUGGUAAGGUAACGGCUUACCAAGGCAACGAUGCAUAGCCGACCUGAGAGGGUGAUCGGCCACACUGGAACUGAGACACGGUCCAGACUCCUACGGGAGGCAGCAGUAGGGAAUCUUCCGCAAUGGGCGAAAGCCUGACGGAGCAACGCCGCGUGAGUGAUGAAGGUCUUCGGAUCGUAAAACUCUGUUAUUAGGGAAGAACAUAUGUGUAAGUAACUGCGCACAUCUUGACGGUACCUAAUCAGAAAGCCACGGCUAACUA